Molecule: long non-coding RNA, 1460 nt
Organism: Anopheles funestus (African malaria mosquito)
Lineage: Eukaryota; Metazoa; Arthropoda; Insecta; Diptera; Culicidae
Exons: 2
Source: RefSeq, a predicted model, not a curated record
UGGCCCUUGCUCCAGUUCUUCUCCCUUCAAUCAGAUCACUGCUGUGUUGGUUCAGCAGCGUUUGGCGCACACAUACCGAUAACAAGAUGUCGCGAUAAGAUAAUGCACACCGUGUGCUUUCACGAUCGCGUCUACUGUUAGGACACAUUUUGAAAGGCAAACUGUACCAAUUUUAGGCUAACAUCACGAAACGGUUAUUUGAGGAGAGAGGUUCUCGAUGUUAGCGAAACAAAACGAUUCCUUUCCACCGCAGUGUGAUAGACAUAGCGCCAUGAAGUACAACUUUGUUUGGUUCGAUUCCGAUUCCGAAUAGUGCUGUCACGGACCAAUCCAGGGAGAUCCAGGGGAUGUUGGAAAAGCAAUUUAAGAUGUUGUAAAAACUGUUCAAUUAACUAUCGCCCACUAACCAAAGUUGAAUUCGGAGUUAAAUUCGGAGAUUACACCGGAGUUAAUUCUGGAUUCAGCUCCGGGAUUAGCUCCGCAGUUACUCGGAGUCAACUCCGGAGUAAUUCGGUGUCAACUCCGGAGUAAUUCGGAGUCAACUCCGGAGUAAUUCGGAGUCAACGCCGGAGUAAUUCGGAGUCAACGCCGGAGUAAUUCGGAGUCAACUCCGGAGUAACUUGGAGUCAACUCUGGAGAAACACUGAGUCAACUCCGGAGUAACUCGAAAUAAAAUCCAGAGUAACUCGGAGUCCACUCUGCAUUUUUUCCGGAGUUGAAUCCGGUUUUUAUACUUCACAGUCGGAGUGAAUUGAUGAAUCCACUCUGGAGUUCCCACCACUAAUGUGCACUACUCAUGACCAUAAAAAACAUCGAAACUAAACAACCUUUAAAGACCGCAGAAAAGCAAAACAAAAAAUCUAGUAAAAAAAACAUAUUACAACUUUCAUCUCGUAGUAGAACCUUCAUCCAUUUAACCCAUCCUUAUGGGUGGGGAAAAAGGGAAAAAAGGAAGGGGUAGUAGAGGUAUGUAUUUAUUCCGUAAUAAUGUUUCUGUACACCGUUUAAUCUUUGUUCGUAUGUGGCAUAUUUCUUACAAAUAUCGUUCCUACUAGCUAGUGAAACAAACCUACUCCAACUAUCUGCCCUGUACACGCACUUGCGCAUGAAACGAAUGUAUUACAGCAAAUUUUAAAGGAGUUAAUGUCGGUAUAUGGUUACGGGUUUUACGGGAAAUACGGUUACUAAAGAACUGAGAAUAUUAGGUAAUUAGUGCAAAAUGUAUCUCUUUUUCAUUUUGUUUUGUUUAAUUGCAAAUAGUUACGUUUAGCAAAAGAAAGAAGGAUAUGCAAGAAAUAGUUCGUAUAUGAAAUAUGGACAUAUGGAAAAAAGUUUGGAGAACUAUCAGGUUUGACAUACUACGGGCGUUGUGUAAGUGCCUAAACAAACAAAUACGAAACAAAUGAACGACGAAUGAAAAAAAAAACGUUUAGCUUUUUUAAUUUCAGUAAUGAUUGAAA